AUUGAACGCUGGCGGCAGGCCUAACACAUGCAAGUCGGACGGUAGCACAGAGAGCUUGCUCUUGGGUGACGAGUGGCGGACGGGUGAGUAAUGUCUGGGGAUCUGCCCGAUAGAGGGGGAUAACCACUGGAAACGGUGGCUAAUACCGCAUAACGUCGCAAGACCAAAGAGGGGGACCUUCGGGCCUCUCACUAUCGGAUGAACCCAGAUGGGAUUAGCUAGUAGGCGGGGUAAUGGCCCACCUAGGCGACGAUCCCUAGCUGGUCUGAGAGGAUAGCCAGCCACACUGGAACUGAGACCCGGUCCAGACUCCUGCGGGAGGCAGCAGUGGGGAAUAUUGCACAAUGGUCACAAGCCUGAUGCAGCCAUGCCGCGUGUAUGAAGAAGGCCUUCGGGUUGUAAAGUACUUUCAGCGGGGAGGAAGGCGGUGAGGUUAAUAACCUCGCCGAUUGACGUUACCCGCAGAAGAAGCACCGGCUAACUCCGUGCCAGCAGCCGCCGUAA
This 504-nucleotide ribosomal RNA is filed under the name uncultured bacterium. RNAcentral describes it as "partial 16S ribosomal RNA". It matches the Rfam family "Bacterial small subunit ribosomal RNA", at positions 30 to 523 of the family's 1533-position model. The record is from RNAcentral.